This 349-nucleotide unclassified non-coding RNA is filed under the name uncultured fungus. RNAcentral's name for it is "partial contains 5.8S ribosomal RNA and internal transcribed spacer 2". The stretch from base 1 to 133 matches the Rfam family "5.8S ribosomal RNA", at positions 22 to 154 of the family's 154-position model. The record is from RNAcentral. Lineage: Eukaryota; Fungi.
UGGCUCUGGCAUCGAUGAAGAACGCAGCGAAAUGCGAUAAGUAAUGUGAAUUGCAGAAUUCAGUGAAUCAUCGAAUCUUUGAACGCACAUUGCGCCCGACAGUAUUCUGGCGGGCAUGCCUGUUCGAGCGUCAUUACAACCCUCAAGCCCCCGGGCUUGGUGCUGGGGAUCGGGAAACCGCGGCGGCGUCCAGCCCCCGCGCCCCGUCCCCCAAAUGCAUCGGCGGUCACGCCGCGGCCUCUUGCGCGUAGUAGCUAACACCUCGCGCCGGAGCUCGUCGUGGUCCACGCCGUAAAACCCCCGACUUUUUAUCAAAGUUGACCUCGAAUCAGGUAGGACUACCCGCUGA